RNAcentral lists this ribosomal RNA (253 nucleotides) under uncultured bacterium. Its description in RNAcentral is "partial 16S ribosomal RNA". It matches the Rfam family "Bacterial small subunit ribosomal RNA", at positions 524 to 776 of the family's 1533-position model. The record is from RNAcentral.
UACGUAGGGUGCGAGCGUUGUCCGGAAUUACUGGGCGUAAAGAGCUCGUAGGUGGUUUGUCGCGUUGUUCGUGAAAACUCACAGCUUAACUGUGGGCGUGCGGGCGAUACGGGCAGACUGGAGUACUGCAGGGGAGACUGGAAUUCCUGGUGUAGCGGUGAAAUGCGCAGAUAUCAGGAGGAACACCGGUGGCGAAGGCGGUUCUCUGGGCCUGUACUGACGCUGAGGAACGAAAGCGUGGGGAGCGAACAGG